This 305-nucleotide ribosomal RNA is filed under the name uncultured bacterium. RNAcentral's name for it is "bacterial SSU rRNA". It matches the Rfam family "Bacterial small subunit ribosomal RNA", at positions 338 to 659 of the family's 1533-position model. The record is from RNAcentral.
CCUACGGGAGGCAGCAGUGGGGAAUAUUGCACAAUGGGGGAAACCCUGAUGCAGCGACGCCGCGUGGGCGACGAAGCGCUCCGGCGCGUAAAGCCCUGUCAGCAGGGAAGAACAAAGACAGUACCUGACCAAGAAGCCCCGGCUAACUACGUGCCAGCAGCCGCGGUAAUACGUAGGGGGCAAGCGUUAUCCGGAUUCACUGGGCGUAAAGGGAGCGCAGGCGGCACGGCAAGUCUGGUGUGAAAGCCCGGGGCCCAACCCCGGGACUGCAUUGGAAACUGUAUAGCUUGAGUACUGGAGAGGCA